UUAAAUUGAAGAGUUUGAUCAUGGCUCAGAUUGAACGCUGGCGGCAGGCUUAACACAUGCAAGUCGAACGGUAGCAGGAAGGAAGCUUGCUUUCUUUGCUGACGAGUGGCGGACGGGUGAGUAAUGCUUGGGGAUCUGGCUUAUGGAGGGGGAUAACGACGGGAAACUGUCGCUAAUACCGCGUAAUGUCUAAGGACUAGAGGGUGGGACUUUCGGGCCACCUGCCAUAAGAUGAGCCCAAGUGGGAUUAGGUAGUUGGUGGGGUAAAGGCCUACCAAGCCGACGAUCUCUAGCUGGUCUGAGAGGAUGACCAGCCACACUGGAACUGAGACACGGUCCAGACUCCUACGGGAGGCAGCAGUGGGGAAUAUUGCACAAUGGGGGGAACCCUGAUGCAGCCAUGCCGCGUGAAUGAAGAAGGCCUUCGGGUUGUAAAGUUCUUUCGGUGAUGAGGAAGGGUGAUGUUUUAAUAGAACAUUACAUUGACGUUAGUCACAGAAGAAGCACCGGCUAACUCCGUGCCAGCAGCCGCGGUAAUACGGAGGGUGCGAGCGUUAAUCGGAAUGACUGGGCGUAAAGGGCACGCAGGCGGUGACUUAAGUGAGAUGUGAAAGCCCCGAGCUUAACUUGGGAAUUGCAUUUCAUACUGGGUGGCUAGAGUAUUUUAGGGAGGGGUAGAAUUCCACGUGUAGCGGUGAAAUGCGUAGAGAUGUGGAGGAAUACCGAAGGCGAAGGCAGCCCCUUGGGAAAAUACUGACGCUCAUGUGCGAAAGCGUGGGGAGCAAACAGGAUUAGAUACCCUGGUAGUCCACGCUGUAAACGCUGUCGAUUUGGGGAUUGGGCUUUAUGUUUGGUGCCCGUAGCUAACGUGAUAAAUCGACCGCCUGGGGAGUACGGCCGCAAGGUUAAAACUCAAAUGAAUUGACGGGGGCCCGCACAAGCGGUGGAGCAUGUGGUUUAAUUCGAUGCAACGCGAAGAACCUUACCUACUCUUGACAUCCUAAGAAG
Molecule: ribosomal RNA, 1008 nt
Filed under: Glaesserella parasuis
Lineage: Bacteria; Pseudomonadati; Pseudomonadota; Gammaproteobacteria; Pasteurellales; Pasteurellaceae
Description: bacterial SSU rRNA
Rfam family: Bacterial small subunit ribosomal RNA
Source: RNAcentral